RNAcentral lists this ribosomal RNA (880 nucleotides) under Loquat phytoplasma. Its description in RNAcentral is "bacterial SSU rRNA". It matches the Rfam family "Bacterial small subunit ribosomal RNA", at positions 366 to 1254 of the family's 1533-position model. Lineage: Bacteria; Bacillati; Mycoplasmatota; Mollicutes; Acholeplasmatales; Acholeplasmataceae. The record is from RNAcentral.
CGGCAAUGGAGGAAACUCUGACCGAGCAACGCCGCGUGAACGAUGAAGUAUUUCGGUACGUAAAGUUCUUUUAUUGGGGAAGAAUAAAUGAUGGAAAAAUCAUUCUGACGGUACCUAAUGAAUAAGCCCCGGCUAACUAUGUGCCAGCAGCCGCGGUAAUACAUAGGGGGGCAAGCGUUAUCCGGAAUUAUUGGGCGUAAAGGGUGCGUAGGCGGUUAAAUAAGUUUAUGGUCUAAGUGCAAUGCUCAACAUUGUGAUGCUAUAAAAACUGUUUAGCUAGAGUAAGAUAGAGGCAAGUGGAAUUCCAUGUGUAGUGGUAAAAUGCGUAAAUAUAUGGAGGAACACCAGUAGCGAAGGCGGCUUGCUGGGUCUUUACUGACGCUGAGGCACGAAAGCGUGGGGAGCAAACAGGAUUAGAUACCCUGGUAGUCCACGCCGUAAACGAUGAGUACUAAACGUUGGGUAAAACCAGUGUUGAAGUUAACACAUUAAGUACUCCGCCUGAGUAGUACGUGCGCAAGUAUGAAACUUAAAGGAAUUGACGGGACUCCGCACAAGCGGUGGAUCAUGUUGUUUAAUUCGAAGGUACCCGAAAAACCUCACCAGGUCUUGACAUGCUUCUGCAAAGCUGUAGAAACACAGUGGAGGUUAUCAGUUGCACAGGUGGUGCAUGGUUGUCGUCAGCUCGUGUCGUGAGAUGUUGGGUUAGGUCCCGCAACGAGCGCAACCCUUAUUGUUAGUUACCAGCACGUAAUGGUGGGGACUUUAGCAAGACUGCCAGUGAUAAAUUGGAGGAUGGUGGGGACGACGUCAAAUCAUCAUGCCCCUUAUGACCUGGGCUACAAACGUGAUACAAUGGCUGUUACAAAGAGUAGCUGAA